UGCAAGUCGAGGGGCAGCAUCAUCAAAGCUUGCUUUGAUGGAUGGCGACCGGCGCACGGGUGAGUAACACGUAUCCAACCUGCCGACAACACUGGGAUAGCCUUUCGAAAGAAAGAUUAAUACCGGAUGGCAUAAUUAUUCCGCAUGGGAUAAUUAUUAAAGAAUUUCGGUUGUCGAUGGGGAUGCGUUCCAUUAGGCAGUUGGCGGGGUAACGGCCCACCAAACCUACGAUGGAUAGGGGUUCUGAGAGGAAGGUCCCCCACAUUGGAACUGAGACACGGUCUAAACUCCUACGGGAGGCAGCAGUGAGGAAUAUUGGUCAAUGGACGAGAGUCUGAACCAGCCAAGUAGCGUGAAGGAUGACUGCCCUAUGGGUUGUAAACUUCUUUUAUACGGGAAUAAAGUGAGCCACGUGUGGCUUUUUGUAUGUACCGUAUGAAUAAGGAUCGGCUAACUCCGUGCCAGCAGCCGCGGUAAUACGGAGGAUCCGAGCGUUAUCCGGAUUUAUUGGGUUUAAAGGGAGCGUAGGCGGGUUGUUAAGUCAGUUGUGAAAGUUUGCGGCUCAACCGUAAAAUUGCAGUUGAUACUGGCGACCUUGAGUGCAACAGAGGUAGGCGGAAUUCGUGGUGUAGCGGUGAAAUGCUUAGAUAUCACGAA
Molecule: ribosomal RNA, 657 nt
Filed under: uncultured bacterium
Lineage: Bacteria
Description: bacterial SSU rRNA
Rfam family: Bacterial small subunit ribosomal RNA
Source: RNAcentral